Molecule: ribosomal RNA, 433 nt
Filed under: uncultured bacterium
Lineage: Bacteria
Description: partial 16S ribosomal RNA
Rfam family: Bacterial small subunit ribosomal RNA
Source: RNAcentral
AGCGAACGCUGGCGGCAGGCUUAACACAUGCAAGUCGAGCGGGCCCUUCGGGGUCAGCGGCAGACGGGUGAGUAACACGUGGGAACGUACCCUUUGGUUCGGAAUAACGCUGGGAAACUAGCGCUAAUACCGGAUACGCCCUUUUGGGGAAAGGCUUGCUGCCGAAGGAUCGGCCCGCGUCUGAUUAGCUAGUUGGUGGGGUAAUGGCCUACCAAGGCGACGAUCAGUAGCUGGUCUGAGAGGAUGAUCAGCCACACUGGGACUGAGACACGGCCCAGACUCCUACGGGAGGCAGCAGUGGGGAAUAUUGGACAAUGGGCGCAAGCCUGAUCCAGCCAUGCCGCGUGAGUGAUGAAGGCCUUAGAGUUGUAAAGCUCUUUUGUCCGGGACGAUAAUGACGGUACCGGAAGAAUAAGCCCCGGCUAACUUCGUG